This 448-nucleotide ribosomal RNA is filed under the name uncultured bacterium. RNAcentral describes it as "bacterial SSU rRNA". It matches the Rfam family "Bacterial small subunit ribosomal RNA", at positions 355 to 823 of the family's 1533-position model. The record is from RNAcentral.
UCAAGAAACUUCCACAAUGGGCGAAAGCCUGAUGGAGCGACGUCGCGUGAUGGACGAAGUGCUUCGGCACGUAAACAUCUUUUAUGUGGGAUGAAAUUAUUGACAGUACCACAUGAAUAAGGGGCUCCUAACUCUGUGCCAGCAGGAGCGGUAAUACAGAGGCCCCAAGCGUUAUCCGGAAUCACUGGGCGUAAAGGGUGUCGAGGCGGUUGUAUUAGUCGUUCGUAAAAUCUACGAGCUUAACUUGUAGGCGGCGAACGAAACGGUACGACUUGAGGUUUGGAGAGGUGCGUGGAACUCACGGUGUAGGGGUGAAAUCCGUUGAUAUCGUGGGGAACACCAAAGGCGAAGGCAGCGCACUGGCCAAAAUCUGACGCUCACACACGAAAGCUAGGGUAGCGAAGAGGAUUAGAUACCCACGUAGUCCCUGAGCGGGCUGGCAAGGCGC